RNAcentral lists this ribosomal RNA (253 nucleotides) under uncultured bacterium. Its description in RNAcentral is "partial 16S ribosomal RNA". It matches the Rfam family "Bacterial small subunit ribosomal RNA", at positions 524 to 776 of the family's 1533-position model. The record is from RNAcentral.
GACGUAGGGUGCAAGCGUUGUCCGGAAUUAUUGGGCGUAAAGAGCUCGUAGGCGGUCUGUCACGUCGGCUGUGAAAACCCGAGACUCAACCUCGGGCCUGCAGUCGAUACGGGCAGACUAGAGAUCGGUAGGGGAGACUGGAAUUCCUGGUGUAGCGGUGAAAUGCGCAGAUAUCAGGAGGAACACCGGUGGCGAAGGCGGCAUCCUGGACCAAUUCUGACGCUGAGGAGCGAAAGCCAGGGGAGCAAACGGG